CAGGCUUAACACAUGCAAGUCGAGGGGCAGCAUGGUCUUAGCUUGCUAAGGCCGAUGGCGACCGGCGCACGGGUGAGUAACACGUAUCCAACCUGCCGUCUACUCUUGGACAGCCUUCUGAAAGGAAGAUUAAUACAAGAUGGCAUCAUGAGUCCACAUGUUCACAUGAUUAAAGGUAUUCCGGUAGACGAUGGGGAUGCGUUCCAUUAGAUAGUAGGCGGGGUAACGGCCCACCUAGUCUUCGAUGGAUAGGGGUUCUGAGAGGAAGGUCCCCCACAUUGGAACUGAGACACGGUCCAAACUCCUACGGGAGGCAGCAGUGAGGAAUAUUGGUCAAUGGGCGAGAGCCUGAACCAGCCAAGUAGCGUGAAGGAUGACUGCCCUAUGGGUUGUAAACUUCUUUUAUAAAGGAAUAAAGUCGGGUAUGCAUACCCGUUUGCAUGUACUUUAUGAAUAAGGAUCGGCUAACUCCGUGCCAGCAGCCGCGGUAAUACGGAGGAUCCGAGCGUUAUCCGGAUUUAUUGGGUUUAAAGGGAGCGUAGAUGGAUGUUUAAGUCAGUUGUGAAAGUUUGCGGCUCAACCGUAAAAUUGCAGUUGAUACUGGAUAUCUUGAGUGCAGUUGAGGCAGGCGGAAUUCGUGGUGUAGCGGUGAAAUGCUUAGAUAUCACGAAGAACUCCGAUUGCGAAGGCAGCCUGCUAAGCUGCAACUGACAUUGAGGCUCGAAAGUGUGGGUAUCAAACAGGAUUAGAUACCCUGGUAGUCCACACGGUAAACGAUGAAUACUCGCUGUUUGCGAUAUACUGCAAGCGGCCAAGCGAAAGCGUUAAGUAUUCCACCUGGGGAGUACGCCGGCAACGGUGAAACUCAAAGGAAUUGACGGGGGCCCGCACAAGCGGAGGAACAUGUGGUUUAAUUCGAUGAUACGCGAGGAACCUUACCCGGGCUUAAAUUGCAGAUGAAUUACGGUGAAAGCCGUAAGCCGCAAGGCAUCUGUGAAGGUGCUGCAUGGUUGUCGUCAGCUCGUGCCGUGAGGUGUCGGCUUAAGUGCCAUAACGAGCGCAACCCUUGUUGUCAGUUACUAACAGGUUCUGCUGAGGACUCUGACAAGACUGCCAUCGUAAGAUGUGAGGAAGGUGGGGAUGACGUCAAAUCAGCACGGCCCUUACGUCCGGGGCUACACACGUGUUACAAUGGGGGGUACAGAGGGCCGCUACCACGCGAGUGGAUGCCAAUCCCAAAAACCUCUCUCAGUUCGGACUGGAGUCUGCAACCCGACUCCACGAAGCUGGAUUCGCUAGUAAUCGCGCAUCAGCCACGGCGCGGUGAAUACGUUCCCGGGCCUUGUACACACCGCCCGUCAAGCCAUGGGAGCCGGGGGUACCUGAAGUGCGUAACCGAGAGGAGCGCCCUAGGGUAAAACUGGUGACUGG
Molecule: ribosomal RNA, 1431 nt
Filed under: uncultured organism
Description: 16S ribosomal RNA
Rfam family: Bacterial small subunit ribosomal RNA
Source: RNAcentral